This is a long non-coding RNA of Glycine soja, 2399 nucleotides long. RefSeq lists it as uncharacterized. NCBI's taxonomy places the organism in Eukaryota, Viridiplantae, Streptophyta, Magnoliopsida, Fabales, Fabaceae. The record is from RefSeq and is a predicted model, not a curated record. The transcript has 5 exons.
ACGACGGGUUUUAUUAAAAAACCAUCGUUAUCUCAAUUGAAUUUAAAAGCCCCAUGAGUGGUCCACGAUUCCUCACACGCACCCACCGUUGUCGUACACCUGUAACACGAUAAGAGGAUACGAUAUCUCACACAGAGAGAAGAGAAACACACUGAAAGAGAGUUCUAGAGUGAGAAACACUGUCUUUAGAGAGAGAAAGUCUGAGAUCUGAUCGGAACUGAGGUAACGCUAGCUCCAAACCUACUCUAUGCUCUAUCGCGAACCUCGCUUUCUUCUUCUUCGUCGAUUCAUUUCUAUUUUAUGGAUUUAAUUUGGUGGAAGUUCUAGGUUAUUAUUGUUCUUUCUCCGUGUGCGAGUCGUUGUUUUCCAUAAAACCUUAGGUUUCGAAUUCUAGGGUUUGGUGAAGGUUUUAGGUUGAGGGAAAAUGAAUUAGGGUUUUUGGAUGUAUGGCUUUGGGGCCAAUAGUUGGAGAUGAUGGAGCCAAAGGGAAGCAGAGGUACACUAAUUGUAAGGUUUACACUAGGAAAGCGUUGAAAGGUUCGAAGAAAAAAGGUAACACCAUUAGCACCGUGAACGCUGUUCCUCCUCCUCCUCCUACCACCGUUGGGAACUCCUCAACAGAAGCCUAGUUCUUUGGGGAGUGAAAGUAGCUUUGCACAAGUGACAGGAAACACAACUAUGGAUUUAGCAGAGAAGAGGCUCAAUGAGCUUAGUUAGAAGCAAGAACUGAGAAGAGAAAUGGUAUUUUUUAUUUUAUUUUUUUAUAUAUUUUUGCCAUCUUGUUUUUGAUGGAGUUGAUUCUUGAUCCUAGUUUUCUUUAGUUAAAUCUAUUUAACUUUUCGAUUUAUGGUGCAGACUAUGUUUAAGACUCUGGCAAUAUCAUUUUCCACAAUGACCCUUUUCACAAGAAUUACACCUCUCUAUGGUUCUAGUCUUCAAUAUGCAGGCCUUGCAACUCUUGUUUGGGGGUGGGUAGUGGUUUCUUUCUUCACUUGGUUUGUUGGGAUUGCAAUGGCUGAGAUAUGCUCAUCCUUCCCGAUGACUGGUUCUCUGUACUUUUGGGCUGCCCAUUUAGCUGGUCCAAAAUGGGGACCAUUUUCUUCAUGGUUUUGUGCUUGACUUGAGACCAUAGGGCUUGUAGCUAGGAUAGGGACUCAGGCAUAUGCAAGAUCACAAACGUUGCAGAGUAUAAUCCUACUCUCAACUGGCACAAAUAAAGGUGGAGGGUACUUCACUCCAAAAUGGCUAUUCUUAUGUAUCUAUAUUGGCCUCACUGUUACAUGGGAAGCACUAAACACAUUUGCAUUGGAAGUGAUUGAUUUGAUCGAUAUAGUUUCAAUAUGGUGGCAGGUACUAUUACUUCCUUGUAUACACUUUUAACUGCCAUAGGAUGGCCUAAUCUAUCUUAUUCUGUUAGUAAAAGAACAUAAGUGAGUAAGGGGUGUUAAUUGGUUUUGAUUCACUCAAUAACCCAAAAAAAUGUUGCACUUUCUUAAAAAAAUUAUCUACUUUCGAUUUCUUAUUCAUUUCUCUUAGGGCAAUGGUUAAAAUUUUCAUAUUUUUUUUAUUCAUAUGCACUACAUGAUGAUGUUUUGGAAAAAGGAAAAGGUAAUCACAAACAAUUUAACUCAAACCCCUCUCUAAUUUUUAAAAUAAGAUUUAAUAGGGUGAGCUUAAUAGGGUUAGGAGUUUGGUGAAUAGGAUUGAGGUGAAGUUGGGGGUGCUUGGUGGGUAUGGUAAUUCUGAUAUGAUGGUGGAUCAUGGGAUUGGUAAUGGGGUUGGAGCUAAGAGGGCUCACUUGGAGGUGGCAACUGGUGUUGUUACACCUUGAGAGCCUACCUAGCCUUUGCAUCAGUUGAGUGUGUCAGUGUUGGAGAAUAAUUAAGGAGUUGCUGAAAUUGUUGAGAAGGAGAAGAAGACGCCAAAGGCAAACCAGUUUGCCUGUUUAUGAUCAGAUGAAAGAAAUGUUCCCCCAUCCUUGCCCGAGGAAGGACAAAUUCCAGUGGAUAAUGGGAGUAAGACCAGUAGUUCAAGCAGCUCCAGCGGUGAUUCAGGCUCUUCUUCAAGUGAUUCUGAUAGUGAUAGCUCCUCAGCCUCCGGGUCUGAUGCAGGGUCACCAAAAAUUUGAAUUCUUUCUGUCAGAUCUCUGGAUGGACUAUGGCUCGAGGAAUCCACACACGCAUCGGCAUUCCCAGCUCGCAUACUUGUCUCAGUCAUAUGCCUAUUGUUGUUAACACAAAGUAAAUUAUGUAUGAAUUUAAAACAAUAAGUUAGGUAAUUAACAAUAAUGUAAAUUGACUUGCAGAAUCUACAACUGUAUAACAAAGAUGCUGAGACAUUGACCACCGUGUGCUAUUUUAGACAGAUCUUCAUGCUUUAUGUACACCAUCUCUUUCUGA